This is a long non-coding RNA of Callorhinus ursinus (northern fur seal), 626 nucleotides long. RefSeq lists it as uncharacterized. The record is from RefSeq and is a predicted model, not a curated record. NCBI's taxonomy places the organism in Eukaryota, Metazoa, Chordata, Mammalia, Carnivora, Otariidae.
ACAGAGCUCCCUGGGCCACCGCAGAGGACAGCGGCAGGCCUUCUCCUCUCCCCGCACCCACACCCGGAGGAACCCCCGCACCCAGAGAAAUGUCAACGUGAAACACUCUCCCGCAAGCGCGUCAGAGUCCUCCCUGCCAUGCCAAGCUCCUGCUUUGUGGGACCCCCCUCGCUCCGCCUGGGCAAGACCCCAAAUCUUUUAAGUGUCCUUCAGGGAUUCAACAUGCCUCCCAACAGCCCGGGCAGAGGCUGGACAAGUCAGAGGCAUCCCGGGGAACAAGAACCUUCAGAAGCCCCCGCAGGGUGCAAGGAACGACGGACUUGGGAAGCAGAUCUCUGCCACUAAGUGCGCCUCGGGCUCCUCACCCUCCGAGGUGAGACAGGGGCUUUCGGGCCAUUUCUCCGCUCACUGAAGCCCUAACGUGCUGUUUCUGGGCAAACGUCUCACAAAAGCAAGCCCUUAAAAUGCUACAAGCGCCCGCUGGAAAACUCUACCUCCAUCUUGCUUGUUUGCCAUUUACGAGUCAAUGGGAACAUCAACAAGAUUUCUUUGUGCUACGGGUAUACUGACCCCAAAACAAAUGAUAAAUUUUAAUUAACUCAAUCAAAUGCAAUUAACAAAUCUGA